Long non-coding RNA from Globicephala melas (long-finned pilot whale), 1096 nucleotides. RefSeq lists it as uncharacterized. Lineage: Eukaryota; Metazoa; Chordata; Mammalia; Artiodactyla; Delphinidae. The record is from RefSeq and is a predicted model, not a curated record.
CGCCGGGCCGAGCCGGUUUUCUCCGGGAAGAUCAAAGCCCGGAGGGGAAGCGGGUCGUCGGGACGAGGGAGGGGACCCGCCCCACCGCCGCCGCCGCCGCCGCCCUUGUGCAGGAGCCUCUCCCCAGUCAGUGGUUAAGUGUCUGUAAUCGGGAUGUAGACGCGACGAAGUCACACGGGUCCAACCUGACAGACGAGGGGCGUGAGGCUCAGAGAGGGUAAGCAUCUUGCCUGGUGUCAGAGGCAGAAGCACUUGAACUGAGUUUGAAUCCAGUUCUGCGGAGUUCAGUGUGUCUACGGUCUUUCAGGGCUUCCAGCCCUUCCUGCCAUCCAUGGAAGGUGGGGAUGCUGCUGUCAUCUUUCACAUUAAGAGACAUCUCCACGUCGCCGCUGGGAAACGCGUCCCAUCUGACUGAUCCAGGUCAUCCCAUCAGUGUUAACUUCAUGCAUUCUCUGUGUGUCACACCUUUAGGGAAAGAAUCAUGCAUUGAGGUGAAAUCCACAAGAACUUAGGCGUUUCAGUGUGGCGUGUAGUGGAUUCACAGUGUUGCACCACCACCCCCCCCGCCCCCCGUGGAGUUCUAGGACAUCCCAUCACUACAGGGAAACCCUCCCCCAGCCCCUGGCAGCCACAACCUUCUCUCCGUCCCCAUGGAUGGGCCCCUCUGGAGGUUCCACGUAGCGCGCGCGUGCGACCUGUGUCUUGUGUGACGGGCCUCUUAACACUCAGCUGGCGUUUCCAAGGUUCAUCCCGCUUCGGCGCACGCUGGAGCGUCGAUGGUUUCUUUGGCUGGAGAAUGUUCCAUUGUGUGGAUGGACCACAUUUUGUUUGUCUCUUCAUCAGUUGAGAGAUUUUUGGGUUGUUUCCACUUUUUGGCUGCUGUGAACACUGGUGUGUGUUCACUGUAUUUUCUUGAUUUCCACACGUGUCCCCAUACGUGUGGCUUUGUCUUUUUUCAGUUAAUGGUUAUUUUUUUUUCAGAAGUGCAUUUUGAAAAUAUUAUCAAUGCCUUUAUUUCCAUUCCAUUAAAUCCAAUAAAGUUAAAUUAUAAUAACUAUUCUUUUUGGUAUAAAUAAAAUAUUUAAACUUAAAAUAA